RNAcentral lists this ribosomal RNA (427 nucleotides) under uncultured bacterium. Its description in RNAcentral is "partial 16S ribosomal RNA". It matches the Rfam family "Bacterial small subunit ribosomal RNA", at positions 355 to 774 of the family's 1533-position model. The record is from RNAcentral.
UGGGGAAUAUUGCACAAUGGGCGCAAGCCUGAUGCAGCCAUGCCGCGUGUAUGAAGAAGGCCUUCGGGUUGUAAAGUACUUUCAGCGGGGAGGAAGGUGUUGUGGUUAAUAACCACAGCAAUUGACGUUACCCGCAGAAGAAGCACCGGCUAACUCCGUGCCAGCAGCCGCGGUAAUACGGAGGGUGCAAGCGUUAAUCGGAAUUACUGGGCGUAAAGCGCACGCAGGCGGUCUCUCAAGUCGGAUGUGAAAUCCCCGGGCUCAACCUGGGAACUGCAUCCGAAACUGGCAGGCUUGAGUCUUGUAGAGGGGGGUAGAAUUCCAGGUGUAGCGGUGAAAUGCGUAGAGAUCUGGAGGAAUACCGGUGGCGAAGGCGGCCCCCUGGACAAAGACUGACGCUCAGGUGCGAAAGCGUGGGGAGCAAACA